Molecule: ribosomal RNA, 402 nt
Filed under: uncultured cyanobacterium
Lineage: Bacteria; Bacillati; Cyanobacteriota
Description: bacterial SSU rRNA
Rfam family: Bacterial small subunit ribosomal RNA
Source: RNAcentral
CGGCGUGCUUAACACAUGCAAGUCGAACGAACCUUCGGGUUAGUGGCGGACGGGUGAGUAACGCGUGGGAAUCUGCCCUCAGGAGGGGGAUAACGGUUGGAAACGGCCGCUAAUACCCCAUAUGCCGAGAGGUGAAAUGAAUUUCGCCUGAGGAUGAGCCCGCGUCUGAUUAGCUAGUUGGUGAGGUAAGAGCUCACCAAGGCAUCGAUCAGUAGCUGGUCUGAGAGGAUGAUCAGCCACACUGGGACUGAGACACGGCCCAGACUCCUACGGGAGGCAGCAGUGGGGAAUUUUCCGCAAUGGGCGAAAGCCUGACGGAGCAACGCCGCGUGAGGGAUGAAGGCCUCUGGGCUGUAAACCUCUUUUAUCAAGGAAGAAGAUCUGACGGUACUUGAUGAAUAA